Pogona vitticeps (central bearded dragon) is the source of this 2129-nucleotide long non-coding RNA. Ensembl lists it as uncharacterized. NCBI's taxonomy places the organism in Eukaryota, Metazoa, Chordata, Lepidosauria, Squamata, Agamidae. The record is from Ensembl.
AACUUAACCCGUAUUGGAAGGCGCUUCUCAAGUCAAAAAGUCUGUAAGUCAAGCCGUCUGUAAGUCAAGGGUCCACUGUAUAUCCACAGCUUUCUCACUCUGCUUCAACAAUGCAGGAGACAAAGUGGGCUCAUGCUCUGAAAGCUCGUACCCAGCUGGCCAAUAUUUAUAAUUAUUGUUAUGGUUGCAUUUUUAAUUUCCAAAACUGAUUAAUAUUUAAAAUGCUGUAUGUUUGGUUUUCUCUCCUUGCUUUGCCAGCAAAAUGCAGCCACCAUGACUCAAGUGAAAGAAGAGGAGCUGAUGGAUAAUGAAGGGAAGGAUGCAUUAAGCUGCAGCCAAAGUGCUGCCACCAGUAGUCAAACUGAAGAUGGAGAGCCAACAGUGAGCAGCAAGAAGGAGGAGUCCUUUUCCUCUAGCUGCAGUAUAUCGGAACUGCUGCUGGUCUAUGGAAACCUUAAAAAGGAUCAGGAAAAGCAUUUGACUCUUAUAGAGUCUCACGCAUCCCUUUUCCAUGCUAUUCAUUCAAUUGUAAAAUGUUACAAGAAGACUGCAGAACGUGGUAAAAGCAAUGUCUUGGGCAUCAAGGAGCUUCAUCACCCUUCCCUUGGCAGGCCUGAGAAGGAGGAUGUUGUAAAAGAAAAACCUGCUUCUCUAAAAGACAGACGAAAAGACAAAGGCACUUCCAUGCGUAUACAUUCCAAACACCUGCUUAUGUCAAAAAGCAAAAGUGUUAUUUUUCGAAUGCAGCAGAAACAUGGUCUUGAAGAAUUGCCUCCAGCCUAUUUGCUUCCUUAUGUGGUGUUAAUUAAGAACUGCAUUUCCUUGCCAGUCUCCACCAUCCAAAAACUAUGUGUCUCUGGGGAGAUACUGUGCAGGAUGGAGUAUUUUAUGUUGAGGUGCACAAAGAAGAAAUCAACUCUGCCUGAAUCAGCAGAAUUAAGUGUUCCUAAACUGCCAACAGUUAAAGAAGUGAAGUACGUCACUUUUGACAGCCUGAAGGAUUUACAGUGGAAGUUGUUCAAAGGUUUGUUAAAACGGAAGCCCAAAACAACUGGAGUGUGGAGGGAACCAACAUACAGUUUUGGAAUUGAAGGUGUAUCUGCUCCCAAGGAUGUAGAAUAUAUCUUCCCUUUGAUGCCUAAAGACUGGAUAAUUGAUGACUCUCUUAAGUUUUCAGAGGAAAUGAUGCACCUGCUUCUAGAAAAAGAAUGAAACUCAUGAACAGAGAGCCAGAACCUGGAGAAUAUUUGUCUAAAAUACAUUGAACAACUUCCAGUGUUAGUUUAGUAUUCCAAUUUUUAUGAGUAAUUUACUUGUGUAAUGCAUGAAGUGAACUAUUGUGUGAUGUUUCAGGCAACAGAUAUAUAGUUGUUUUUGAGGUCUCUGAAAGCACCCCUGAAAAAGGUGCCUCUAAAGAUCAGCAUUUUUUUAUUUAGUGAUAAAAAGAAAAAUCCCAUUGAAAGACAGAAACUGUUUGCUUUAAUUGUUGUGCAGCACUCUUGUGCUGCCAGACUUCAAUAGUGAACUGCUACAAUGCAUGUGAAACAAAUAAUAUGCUUGUUUGAACCUGUUUUCCCCCUGUUGCUGCUGAAUUUUGGUGGCAUACAGGUAUGAUCCAAAUACAGGUGGGGUGCCAGAAUUGGGCCUUGUGUCCAUCAAAGAUGCCUACCCACCUCCAGUAUAAAGCACCUGGGUGCCUUUUAAUAGAUUUCAGAGAGGUGUACAUGUUAAUCUGUUCCAUCAACAAAAUCAGAAAUCUCCAAGAUUCUCAGUUAUGUUUCAGCCUGGAUCACAAAAAAUGCAAUACAAAACAAAACAAACUCCAAAGUAUUGCAGCAUCUUCAAGACUAAUACAUUUAUUAGAGGCUGAAUACUCAAAAGCUUAAUUUUUUUUAAUUUUGGGGUUAGAAAAGUGGGGGGCAUCUUAUAAAUGGGGGCAUCUUAUAAAUGGAAAAAAUACAGUACUCGAUUUAUUUUGUCAUUUCUUUUGUUUUUGUGUGUAUUUUGUCAUCUGCUUAGAACACACAGGUGAUAUACAGAUUAAUCUAAAGGACAGCAGGGAGGCUUGCAUUACAGACAGGCAUGUCUCUAAUGAAGGCCUCAGAAUAAAAAUUGUGGAAGCCAAGACA